This 422-nucleotide unclassified non-coding RNA is filed under the name fungal sp. RNAcentral describes it as "partial internal transcribed spacer region". Lineage: Eukaryota; Fungi. The record is from RNAcentral.
AGUCGGAACAAGGUGUUUCCGUAGAACCUGCGGAAAGAUCAUUAACACGGUUAGAUUCACAAUUUGGAUUGUCAGUCUACUUUUCUUUAAUCGCCGCGCACCUUGUUAAACACGGACUGGUUCGAACCAGGAAAUCGAGAGCAAGCUGCUUGAUUGAUGGGUGAAAAGACUUGGUUUUUGAAUCUCGCGGUCCGUCAUCAAUCACUUGGGACUUGAAACACGCCUUUUCGUACUACUACCAGUCUGAAUUGUUCGAUCUCUGCCUCCUUUUUCUUUUUCUUUUUCUUUUCUUCUUUUGUGAUUCCCCUUUUUUGCGUUUGCGCGACGUGAGGCCUGUUUUACGAGAGAGAAAAGAGAUAAGGGCGUAGGAAAGAACAAAAACACACUUUGAACAACUCUUAGCAACGGAUAUCUCGGUUCUC